Molecule: ribosomal RNA, 1460 nt
Filed under: uncultured Bordetella sp.
Lineage: Bacteria; Pseudomonadati; Pseudomonadota; Betaproteobacteria; Burkholderiales; Alcaligenaceae
Description: partial 16S-23S ribosomal RNA intergenic spacer
Rfam family: Bacterial small subunit ribosomal RNA
Source: RNAcentral
UUCGAUUAUGGCUCAGAUUAGACGCUGGCGGGAUGCUUUACACGGCACAAGUCGAACGGCAGCCUGGACUUCGGUCUGGUGGCGGGUAGCGAACAGGUGGCCAAUGUAUCGGAACGUGCCUAGUAGCGGGGGAUAACUACGCGAAAGCGUAGCUAAUAUCCACCGCUGGGGAAAGCAGGGGGACCUUCAGACCUCGCACUAUUAGAGCGGCCGUGUAUCGGUUAAGCUAGUUGGUGGGGUAACGGCUCGCAAGGCGACGAUCCGUAGCUGGUUUGAAGGGACGACCAGCCACACUGGGACUGAGACACGGCCCAGACUCCUACGGGAGGCAGCAGUAGAAUUUUGGACAAUGGGGGAAACCUGAUCCAGCCAUCCCGCGUGUGCGAUGAAGGCCUUCGGGUUGCAAACACUUUUGGCAGAAAGAAACGGCACGGGAUAAUACCCCAUUUCGCUACGACAGACUCACCUGCAGAAUAGCCUCUGACUAACUACGUGCCAGCAGCGCGGUAAUACGUAGGGUGCAAGCGUUAAUCAGGUGCAGAUAAAGCGUGCGCGAGCAGUUCGGAAAGAAUGAUGUAGAAAUCCCAGAGCUUAACUUUGGAACUGCAUUUUUAACUACCGAGCUGAGUGUGUCAGGGAGGUGGAAUUCCGCGUGUAGCAGUGAAAUGCGUGAAUAUGCGGAGGAACACCGAUGGCGAAAGCAGCAGCCUCCUGGGGAUAACGCAAGCGCUCAUGCACAGCGUGAGGCAAACGGGAUUAGAUACCCUGGUAGUCAGUCCACGCCCUAAACGAUGUCAACUAGCUGUUGGGCCUUCGGGCCUUGGUAACAGCUAACGCGCGUGAGAUUGACGCCUGGGAGAUACGGUCGCAAGAUUAAAACUCAAAGAAUUGACGGGGAUUACACAAGCGGUGGAUGAUGUGGGUUAAUUCGAUGCAACGCGAAAAACCUUACCUACCCUUGACAUGUCUAGAAUCCCGAAGAGGUUGGGAGUGCUCGCAAGAACUGGAACACAGGUGCUGCAUGGCUGUCGUCAGCUCAUUGUCGUGAAUGUUGAGUUAAGUCCCGCAACGAGCUAACCGCAUCGUGGAUUGCUACGAAGGGCACUCUAAUGAGACUGCCGAUGCAAGUAAACCGGAGGAAGAGUGGGGAUGACGUCAGUCCUCAUGGCCCAUAUCAGAUGGUAGGGCUUCACACGUCAUACAAUGGUCGGGACAGAGGUGCCAACCCGCGAGGAAUAAUCCCAGAAACCCGAUCAUCGUCCGGUCACAGUCUGCAAUAUUGACUGCAUGAAGUCGGAAUCGCUAGUAAUCGCGGAUCAGCAUGUCGCGGUGAAUACGUUCCCGGGUCUUGUACGCCGCCCGUCACACCAUGGGAGUGGGUUUUGCAAGUAGUUAACCUAACCGUAAGGGCGAUUACCACGGUAGGAUUCAUGACUGGGAGUGAAGUCGUAACAAGGUAG